UUGACGGGGCCCGCACAAGCGGCGGAGCAUGCGGAUUAAUUCGAUGCAACGCGAAGAACCUUACCAAGGCUUGACAUACACCGGUAACGCCCAGAGAUGGGUGCCCCUUUGUGGUCGGUGGACAGGUGGUGCAUGGUUGUCGUCAGCUCGUGUCGUGAGAUGUUGGGUUAAGUCCCGCAACGAGCGCAACCCCUAUCUCUAGUUGCCAGCGAUUCGGUCGGGGACUCUAGAGAUACUGCCCCGGUUAACGGGAGGAAGGUGGGGAUGACGUCAAGUCCUCAUGGCCCUUAUGCCCAGGGCUACACACGUGCUACAAUGGGCGGUACAAAGGGUAGCGAUGCCGCGAGGUGAAGCCAAUCCCAAAAGCCGUCCACAGUUCGGAUUGGAGUCUGCAACUCGACUCCAUGAAGCCGGAAUCGCUAGUAAUCGUGGAUCAGCAUGCCACGGUGAAUACGUUCCCGGGCCUU
Molecule: ribosomal RNA, 467 nt
Filed under: uncultured bacterium
Lineage: Bacteria
Description: bacterial SSU rRNA
Rfam family: Bacterial small subunit ribosomal RNA
Source: RNAcentral